CUGCCGGUGACAAACCGGAGGAAGGUGGGGAUGACGUCAAAUCAUCAUGCCCCUUAUGACCUGGGCUACACACGUGCUACAAUGGACAGAACAAAGGGCAGCGCAACCGCGAGGUUAAGCCAAUCCCACAAAUCUGUUCUCAGUUCGGAUCGCAGUCUGCAACUCGACUGCGUGAAGCUGGAAUCGCUAGUAAUCGCGGAUCAGCAUGCCGCGGUGAAUACGUUCCCGGGCCUUGUACACACCGCCCGUCACACCACGAGAGUUUGUAACACCCGAAGUCGGUGAGGUAACCUUUAUGGAGCCAGCCGCCGAAGGUGGGACAGAUGAUUGGGGUGAAGUCGUAACAAGGUAGCCGUAUCGGAAGGUGCGGCUGGAUCACCUCCUUUCUAAGGA
RNAcentral lists this ribosomal RNA (393 nucleotides) under Bacillus velezensis. RNAcentral describes it as "bacterial SSU rRNA". It matches the Rfam family "Bacterial small subunit ribosomal RNA", at positions 1149 to 1533 of the family's 1533-position model. The record is from RNAcentral. Lineage: Bacteria; Bacillati; Bacillota; Bacilli; Caryophanales; Bacillaceae.